GUUGUGUUGUUUUUUGUCAUACUUAUUAAAUUUAAAUGGUAACCACUGUAAACGAUCAGAGGUACUUCCGUGUUCUCCGUGUUGUUUAUAAAAAAAAAUUAUUUAAAAUAGCAGUAGAUGGAUAAUACAGCAGACUAAAGUGACAUAUGUGAAAUCUAUGCAUUUUUUUAAUAAAGCCUACACCUUCAAAUAAGUUUGCAUUGAUUAUUUU
Molecule: long non-coding RNA, 211 nt
Filed under: Mytilus galloprovincialis (Mediterranean mussel)
Lineage: Eukaryota; Metazoa; Mollusca; Bivalvia; Mytilida; Mytilidae
Source: RNAcentral